UAGGGAAUCUUCGGCAAUGGACGGAAGUCUGACCGAGCAACGCCGCGUGAGUGAAGAAGGUUUUCGGAUCGUAAAGCUCUGUUGUUAGAGAAGAACGUUGGUAGGAGUGGAAAAUCUACCAAGUGACGGUAACUAACCAGAAAGGGACGGCUAACUACGUGCCAGCAGCCGCGGUAAUACGUAGGUCCCGAGCGUUGUCCGGAUUUAUUGGGCGUAAAGCGAGCGCAGGCGGUUCUUUAAGUCUGAAGUUAAAGGCAGUGGCUUAACCAUUGUACGCUUUGGAAACUGGAGGACUUGAGUGCAGAAGGGGAGAGUGGAAUUCCAUGUGUAGCGGUGAAAUGCGUAGAUAUAUGGAGGAACACCGGUGGCGAAAGCGGCUCUCUGGUCUGUAACUGACGCUGAGGCUCGAAAGCGUGGGAAGCAAACAGGAUUAGAUACCCUGGUAGUCCACGCCGUAAACGAUGAGUGCUAGGUGUUAGGCCCUUUCCGGGGCUUAGUGCCGCAGCUAACGCAUUAAGCACUCCGCCUGGGGAGUACGACCGCAAGGUUG
Molecule: ribosomal RNA, 550 nt
Filed under: uncultured bacterium
Lineage: Bacteria
Description: bacterial SSU rRNA
Rfam family: Bacterial small subunit ribosomal RNA
Source: RNAcentral